Molecule: ribosomal RNA, 253 nt
Filed under: uncultured bacterium
Lineage: Bacteria
Description: partial 16S ribosomal RNA
Rfam family: Bacterial small subunit ribosomal RNA
Source: RNAcentral
UACGGAGGGUGCGAGCGUUGUCCGGAAUCACUGGGCGUAAAGGGCGCGUAGGUGGCGGGUCAAGCGUGCGGUGAAAGCUCGGGGCUCAACCCCGAGUCGGCCGUGCGAACUAGCUUGCUUGAGCACUGUAGAGGCAGAUGGAAUUCCGGGUGUAGCGGUGGAAUGCGUAGAGAUCCGGAAGAACACCGGUGGCGAAGGCAGCUCGCUGGGACGGUACUGACGCUGAGACGCGAAAGCGUGGGGAGCAAACAGG